GAUGAACGCUGGCGGCGUGCCUAAUACAUGCAAGUCGAGCGAACAGACGAGGAGCUUGCUCCUCUGACGUUAGCGGCGGACGGGUGAGUAACACGUGGAUAACCUACCUAUAAGACUGGGAUAACUUCGGGAAACCGGAGCUAAUACCGGAUAAUAUAUUGAACCGCAUGGUUCAAUAGUGAAAGACGGUUUUGCUGUCACUUAUAGAUGGAUCCGCGCCGCAUUAGCUAGUUGGUAAGGUAACGGCUUACCAAGGCAACGAUGCGUAGCCGACCUGAGAGGGUGAUCGGACACACUGGGACUGAGACACGGUCCAGACUCCUACGGGAGGCAGCAGUAGGGAAUCUUCCGCAAUGGGCGAAAGCCUGACGGAGCAACGCCGCGUGAGUGAUGAAGGUCUUCGGAUCGUAAAACUCUGUUAUUAGGGAAGAACAAAUGUGUAAGUAACUAUGCACGUCUUGACGGUACCUAAUCAGAAAGCCACGGCUAACUACGUG
RNAcentral lists this ribosomal RNA (497 nucleotides) under uncultured bacterium. RNAcentral describes it as "partial 16S ribosomal RNA". It matches the Rfam family "Bacterial small subunit ribosomal RNA", at positions 28 to 507 of the family's 1533-position model. The record is from RNAcentral.